UACGUAGGGUGCAAGCGUUAAUCGGAAUUACUGGGCGUAAAGCGUGCGCAGGCGGUUAUUCAAGUCAGAUGUGAAAUCCCCGGGCUUAACCUGGGAACUGCAUUUGAGACUGCAUAGCUGGAGUACGGUAGAGGGGGAUGGAAUUCCGCGUGUAGCAGUGAAAUGCGCAGAUAUCAGGAGGAACACCGGUGGCGAAGGCGGGACUCUGGGCCGAUACUGACGCUGAGGAGCGAAAGCGUGGGGAGCAAACAGG
Molecule: ribosomal RNA, 253 nt
Filed under: uncultured bacterium
Lineage: Bacteria
Description: partial 16S ribosomal RNA
Rfam family: Bacterial small subunit ribosomal RNA
Source: RNAcentral